GUGAAAGUAAUGUUUAAGAAUGCUAAAGUAUGAGAUUAUGACAUAUAGGCACAAAGAAGGAAGAAGGCGCAAGUCACUCGAAGGCACAAGCAUCUCAAGAUCGCGGUAAAUCCCUUGCUUGAUUGCGGCGCACCCGGACCGAACACACACACGAAAUGUCGACCUUAUGCGCUUCCGGUCCAAGUUGUUUGUUUUGAUGGGUUAACUUACCAUUUUGUCUAGUAAAUGUUAUUUAGUAAGUGUCUAGUUUGUUAGUAAGAAGUUUGGAUACUAAACUUUUGUGUAGUUUGUACAAAAUGUUCAUGGCGAACCAUAUAUGGUCUUAACUUUUGUUA
This is a long non-coding RNA of Helianthus annuus (common sunflower), 335 nucleotides long. RefSeq lists it as uncharacterized. NCBI's taxonomy places the organism in Eukaryota, Viridiplantae, Streptophyta, Magnoliopsida, Asterales, Asteraceae. The transcript is spliced from 2 exons. The record is from RefSeq and is a predicted model, not a curated record.